This is a long non-coding RNA of Ochotona princeps (American pika), 281 nucleotides long. RefSeq lists it as uncharacterized. The record is from RefSeq and is a predicted model, not a curated record. The transcript has 2 exons. NCBI's taxonomy places the organism in Eukaryota, Metazoa, Chordata, Mammalia, Lagomorpha, Ochotonidae.
GUGUUGAGUGCUCAGGCCUCCGUGUAGGUGGAAAGAAAGAGUCGCCCGAGCAGAAGAAUCCCUGCUCUUUGGCAGGCCGGACUGCAGGGAGUCCCCAGGAGCUCUCUGCCCAGUCCUCCAGUAUCUGGCUGACAGAGCAGCUGUCCACGGAUCGGCCACAGAAGAGCGGCCACUCCCCUGCGCUCUCCAGGUGUCUACUUAGACGGUGGAGUCCAGAGGCUUCCGCCCUGCAGGACACGGAGUGGACACAAAGGUGUUUGCUAACAGGCAAUGGAAGUAAG